This is a long non-coding RNA of Paramacrobiotus metropolitanus, 419 nucleotides long. RefSeq lists it as uncharacterized. NCBI's taxonomy places the organism in Eukaryota, Metazoa, Tardigrada, Eutardigrada, Parachela, Macrobiotidae. The transcript has 4 exons. The record is from RefSeq and is a predicted model, not a curated record.
AAUUUGCCCAAGAAAUCGUGAAUAACAUAUUUUUUAAUCACGCAACUUACGACGGAAUCGCGGAAACUAUGAAGUACACAUAUGGUUGGAAUAAAUUGUUCUCGCGAAAAACCGUGGCGGUUAUUUUCCUGCGACACGAGAUUGAAUGCGACAUCAGAGAGCAGAAGAUCACCUUCCAGUUUGAAGAGCAGAGAAGUGUUUUGCAAUAUUUGGACAAGCGUAUGGACGAGAUCUUCGCAAGCACAUACGAACACCGCUGUUCUGGCGAGUGCGUAGCCAAAGGGUGUGGAAGACUGUUUAUUAUGGACGGACUUUGGAAAAUCGUGUUCCGGCAUUGUAUAGCAGAAGUGCGGAAUUUCGUUGAAGGAAUUUCUUUGAUUAACUUUCCUCAAGUUUGCACGCAUUCGCCAUGUGGCAGG